Molecule: long non-coding RNA, 438 nt
Organism: Capsicum annuum
Lineage: Eukaryota; Viridiplantae; Streptophyta; Magnoliopsida; Solanales; Solanaceae
Exons: 2
Source: RefSeq, a predicted model, not a curated record
CCAAUUGAAAGAGUCAGCUCCUCUCUGAAACUGCCCCUCUCUCAAAUUCAUCAUCUCUAUGAAUAAUAAUUAGCCCAAAUCCACCCCUCCCAAAAAAUCAUCUCUAGCUCUGGAAACUCUCUCGCCCAAAUCAUAAAUAAUCCACCAGUUCUUUCAUUCCAUAUUUGAUAGAUUUGAUCCUGACUUGUGCUUGAACUCAAGGGGUUCUGGGCUCGUUCUUGAAUCUUGCGGUCUUGAUCUUGAAUUUUGAUGAAUGCUUGAGCUUUAUAGAGAAAUUGUGGCAUUUGAUCCACGACUUUCUCUUGCUUUUUGUUAGAGUUGUUCAUCCUCUUUUCUGAAUUAUAAGACCCCUAUUUAUAGUUGUGGAAAGAAAAAAGUUAUGAUGAAUAUGACCUUCCUUUGACCAAUUAAAUUUAUGUGACGUGACACCUUUUAUGA